Triticum dicoccoides is the source of this 515-nucleotide long non-coding RNA. RefSeq lists it as uncharacterized. Lineage: Eukaryota; Viridiplantae; Streptophyta; Magnoliopsida; Poales; Poaceae. The record is from RefSeq and is a predicted model, not a curated record. The transcript is spliced from 3 exons.
CAACAGUAGCUAUCUUGACUUACAAAAAAAGGUUGCAGGUAAACGCCCGGAGGCGAGCUGAUUAUCGGAAGAAAAUAGAGGGUACGGUCAAGCUCCAAGAUGAAAAUCAUCAUUCCCUUACGAUGUCUGGACCCAACUCCAGCAACUUUGUAGCUCAGAGACAUAAUCAAAUUAAGGUGAGGAGAUGGCGAAAAAAAUGAAAGAAAGGACAGUCUGCUGACCCUAUAGCCUUGUGGCGGUGGAAUCAGGCAAUUAAAGCGUCUCUCAUAAGGGAUUAGCUCAGAAUGCCCAUCGUCGCAUACCUUCACAAGGAAGGAAAAGAAAAACAUUUAGAAAGAUAAUCAUACAUAUUGACUGUUAACAAUCAACUGAUUGCUGGUUCUGAACUCACAGGUAAGCCCUUGAUCUUAACAUCGUUUGUAUUUAUGUCUCUCAAAUUAUGUUUCAAAAUUAGGUUGCUCAAGUUAAGUUACCAAAAAUAUCACCCACUAUAUACAUAAACUGAUGGACCUCUG